RNAcentral lists this long non-coding RNA (238 nucleotides) under Gossypium barbadense (sea-island cotton). RNAcentral describes it as "long non-coding RNA (GBAR_LNC005223)". The record is from RNAcentral. Lineage: Eukaryota; Viridiplantae; Streptophyta; Magnoliopsida; Malvales; Malvaceae.
GCGGCUAUUCGACCACUUUUUCCUUCCCUUUAUCGGAUUUAGUUCCCCUUUGCUCUUGAGCUUAAUUCAAAUAAAUUUAACUCAUUAAAGUCUCAUUUUGCUAGCUUAUGGCCGAAUAUGACAAGGAGUUUGAUAGGUCAUAUGCCCACCUUUUAGCAUGCAAAUGAUAUCAACACCAAUCCACCUUGGCCGAAUAUCAUCUCCAUGACAUAGUAAAGAUUUGAACCAUGGGCUAUUU